Molecule: ribosomal RNA, 433 nt
Filed under: uncultured bacterium
Lineage: Bacteria
Description: partial 16S ribosomal RNA
Rfam family: Bacterial small subunit ribosomal RNA
Source: RNAcentral
AGCGAACGCUGGCGGCAGGCUUAACACAUGCAAGUCGAGCGGGCCCUUCGGGGUCAGCGGCGGACGGGUGAGUAACGCGUGGGAACGUGCCUUCUGGUCUGGAAUAACCCUGGGAAACUAGGGCUAAUACCGGAUACGCCCUUUUGGGGAAAGGUUUACUGCCGGAAGAUCGGCCCGCGUCUGAUUAGCUAGUUGGUGGGGUAACGGCCUACCAAGGCGACGAUCAGUAGCUGGUCUGAGAGGAUGCUCAGCCACACUGGGACUGAGACACGGCCCAGACUCCUACGGGAGGCAGCAGUGGGGAAUAUUGGACAAUGGGCGCAAGCCUGAUCCAGCCAUGCCGCGUGAGUGAUGAAGGCCUUAGGGUUGUCAAGCUCUUUUAUCCGGGACGAUAAUGACGGUACCGGAGGAAUAAGCCCCGGCUAACUUCGUG